CUGUAUCAGUUUUAUUAUAACCUUCCUUACUGCAAACAUUUAAGAAAUUAAUCAAUGCGAAAGUAGUGCCUGUCUGGACGAUACUACCCUUAAAGAAAAACAAAUUGUUGUUAUCGUCUUGUCCUGGGUAUACACUCUCUUUACUCUGAUAUAUGCAGCAGUUAAAAUUGAUGCGGCUGCCUCUUCGUCUAAUAUGCUACAAACAAGAAGCGAAAAAGACGCGUGUAUUGCAUACAUAGUCAUAUUGACAUUGACGUGCUUACAAAUUGUAGGCGCCAUAUUUCUUACAGUCGGUUUUUGCUGUGUAGAAGAUUAUUUUGUUUUAUACAGGUAGCAGAAUCUCAGGUAGAAGUUUGCAUUGCGCAAAGCGGUUCAAACCAAUACGUCGGGCUAGGGUUCGCGGCUUUGUUCUAAAAUUUUCAAGAGUUACCAGUAAUAUUCCCACUGAGCAUUUUGCAAGAAAAGCCAGUUCUCGAAAAGAAUAUGGCAUAUUGGAGCCGGGUUAACUAUGAAAAGGCUUGGCGAAUUGGGGUUUUCGUAAAUAUUAAUAUCCUACAAGAGAUGAACAAUAUUUUGUAAAGUAGGCGAACGUUUGAGACUUCACCAAUUUUCAAUAAGCACGCAAAUGCUUAGCAUUUACGCAUUAUAGAAAAAAUAGCCGACCCUAACUAAAUCGACAAUAACCGGAUUCCAAACAGAGAUCAAAAUUUUUCCGUUUAAAAUGUGCCAAUGCAAUGCGUGCGAAUAUUUGGAUACGUGCUGUUGUUCAACUUUGAAAUCAAAACAAAUUGUUUUUAUCAUCUGGACGUUAACACAUUCCCUAUUGUCUUUUCUACUAUCACAUAUGAUUGCCUGCGGGUUCCUCAAAGAGACGCAUUUGGUUAUCUACGCAUAUUUUGCAAUAUCCGCUGUACAUUUACUGGGUGGAAUCCUUCUUGGAAUAGGCUUUUUUUUUGUAGAACUUAGCCCCCACGUAUCUAGCUGGCAUAGUUAUAAGUUCAAUAUCACCCUUCUCUCUACUGGGUUAUUUAGCAGUUUUCCAAAUCUUUUUCAUUAUAUUCGCCUGUCGGUAUUAUACCUUAGAGCUUAAAAAAUAGCAUUCGUACUAAAUUACUCAAAGUUGCCUGUGUUAUCUGUAACCAUAAUUUACAAUCUGUUAUCAAAUUAUCAAUGUAAGACCUUAAAUAA
Long non-coding RNA from Drosophila novamexicana, 1188 nucleotides. RefSeq lists it as uncharacterized. The record is from RefSeq and is a predicted model, not a curated record. NCBI's taxonomy places the organism in Eukaryota, Metazoa, Arthropoda, Insecta, Diptera, Drosophilidae. The transcript has 6 exons.